UACGUAGGGUGCGAGCGUUAAUCGGAAUUACUGGGCGUAAAGCGCACGUAGGCGGGUCGUUAAGUCAGUGGUGAAAUCCCGGAGCUCAACUCCGGAACUGCCUUUGAUACUGGCGACCUUGAGAUCGAGAGAGGUGAGUGGAAUUCCGAGUGUAGAGGUGAAAUUCGUAGAUAUUCGGAAGAACACCAGUGGCGAAGGCGGCUCACUGGCUCGAUACUGACGCUGAGGUGCGAAAGCGUGGGGAGCAAACAGG
This 253-nucleotide ribosomal RNA is filed under the name uncultured bacterium. RNAcentral describes it as "partial 16S ribosomal RNA". It matches the Rfam family "Bacterial small subunit ribosomal RNA", at positions 524 to 776 of the family's 1533-position model. The record is from RNAcentral.